AGGAGUAUUAGUAAAAUUUACAUAAUCUUGUCAAGAUUAAAUUACAGGUGAAACUCCUGUAUACUCCU
Molecule: transfer RNA, 68 nt
Filed under: Rhinophylla pumilio
Lineage: Eukaryota; Metazoa; Chordata; Mammalia; Chiroptera; Phyllostomidae
Description: transfer RNA-Asp
Source: RNAcentral